AGCAGCCGCGGUAAUUCCAGCUCCAAUAGCGUAUAUUAAAGUUGUUGUAGUUAAAAAGCUCGUAGUUGAAUUUCGGGAUUAGUGCGCUGGUCAUGCCUUUGGUAUGUACUGGUGUUACUGAUUUCUACCUUCUGAAGAACCGUUAUGUCAUUUAUUUGGUGUGGCGGGGAAUCAGGACUGUUACUUUGAAAAAAUUAGAGUGUUUAAAGCAGGCUCGCGCUUGAAUACAUUAGCAUGGAAUAAUGAAAUAGGACGUUUGACCCUAUUUUGUUGGUUUCUAGGAUCGACGUAAUGAUUAAUAGGGAUAGUUGGGGGCAUUAGUAUUCAAUUGUCAGAGGUGAAAUUCUUGGAUUUAUUGAAGACUAACUACUGCGAAAGCAUUUGCCAAGGAUGUUUUCAUUAAUCAUGAACGAAAGUUAGGGGAUCGAAGACGAUCAGAUACCGUCGUAGUCUUAACCAUAAACUAUGCCGACUAGGGAUCGGAUGAUGUUAUCUUUAAUGACUCA
RNAcentral lists this ribosomal RNA (506 nucleotides) under uncultured Glomeraceae. RNAcentral's name for it is "SSU rRNA". It matches the Rfam family "Eukaryotic small subunit ribosomal RNA", at positions 569 to 1078 of the family's 1831-position model. The record is from RNAcentral. Lineage: Eukaryota; Fungi; Glomeromycota; Glomeromycetes; Glomerales; Glomeraceae.